This 466-nucleotide ribosomal RNA is filed under the name uncultured bacterium. Its description in RNAcentral is "partial 16S ribosomal RNA". It matches the Rfam family "Bacterial small subunit ribosomal RNA", at positions 28 to 507 of the family's 1533-position model. The record is from RNAcentral.
GACGAACGCUGGCGGCGCGCCUAACACAUGCAAGUCGAACGAGCGAGAGGAGGUUUACUUUCUCAAGCGAGUGGCGAACGGGUGAGUAACGCGUGAGGAACCUGCCUCAAAGAGGGGGACAACAGUUGGAAACGACUGCUAAUACCGCAUAAGCCCACGCCCCGGCAUCGGGUAGAGGGAAAAGGAGCAAUCCGCUUUGAGAUGGCCUCGCGUCCGAUUAGCUAGUUGGUGAGGUAAUGGCCCACCAAGGCGACGAUCGGUAGCCGGACUGAGAGGUUGAACGGCCACAUUGGGACUGAGACACGGCCCAGACUCCUACGGGAGGCAGCAGUGGGGAAUAUUGCACAAUGGGGGAAACCCUGAUGCAGCGACGCCGCGUGGAGGAAGAAGGUCUUCGGAUUGUAAACUCCUGUUGUGGAGGAAGAUAAUGACGGUACUCAACAAGGAAGUGACGGCUAACUACGUG